GAUGAACGCUGGCGGCGUGCCUAACACAUGCAAGUCGAACGGAGUCGUUUUGGAAAUCUAUUCGGAGAUGGAAUUCUCGACUUAGUGGCGGACGGGUGAGUAACGCGUGAGCAAUCUGCCUUUAAGAGGGGGAUAACAGUCGGAAACGGCUGCUAAUACCGCAUAAAGCAUUAAAUUCGCAUGUUUUUGAUGCCAAAGGAGCAAUCCGCUUUUAGAUGAGCUCGCGUCUGAUUAGCUAGUUGGCGGGGUAACGGCCCACCAAGGCGACGAUCAGUAGCCGGACUGAGAGGUUGAACGGCCACAUUGGGACUGAGACACGGCCCAGACUCCUACGGGAGGCAGCAGUGGGGAAUAUUGCGCAAUGGGGGAAACCCUGACGCAGCAACGCCGCGUGAUUGAAGAAGGCCUUCGGGUUGUAAAGAUCUUUAAUCAGGGACGAAACAAAUGACGGUACCUGAAGAAUAAGCUCCGGCUAACUACGUG
This 483-nucleotide ribosomal RNA is filed under the name uncultured bacterium. Its description in RNAcentral is "partial 16S ribosomal RNA". It matches the Rfam family "Bacterial small subunit ribosomal RNA", at positions 28 to 507 of the family's 1533-position model. The record is from RNAcentral.